RNAcentral lists this ribosomal RNA (1456 nucleotides) under metagenome. RNAcentral describes it as "bacterial SSU rRNA". It matches the Rfam family "Archaeal small subunit ribosomal RNA". The record is from RNAcentral.
GAUUGAUCCCGUCGGACCCCACUGCUAUCGAGAUGGGCCUAAAGUAUGCUAGUCGAACGACCAGAACUAUGUCUGGAAGUGGCACACUGCUCAGUAACACGUAGCUAACCUACCCUUAGGACGUGGAUACCCCCGAGAAAUUGGGGUUAAUCCGCGAUAGAUGUAAUGUCCUGGAAUGGUAUUACGUCUAAAGGUAUUUCAUACAUGUUUGAAAUAUGCCUAAGGAUGGGGCUGCGGCCGAUCAGGCUGUUGGUGAGGUAAUGGCUCACCAAACCUUUGACCGGUACGGGCCAUGAGAGUGGUAGCCCGGAGAUGGACACUCAAGGGUCCAGGCCCUAAGGGGCGCAGCAACCGCGAAACCUCCACAAUGCACUCACGUGCGAUGGGGCUAUCUCGAGUGCCUCCUGAUGAAGGUGGCUUUUCCUUGGUCUUCAAAGCCUUGGGAAUAAGAGGGGGGCAAGACUGGUGUCAGCCGCCGCGGUAACACCAGCCCCUCGAGUGGUGGGGAUGAUUAUUUGGCCUAAAGCGUCCGUAGCCGGCCGAGCAAGUCUUCCGUUAAAUCCAGCGUCUCAAGCGUUGGACCGCGGGAGAUACUACACGGCUAGAGAGUGGGAGAGGUCAGCGGUAUUCUGGGGGUAGGGGCGAAAUCCUUUGAUCCCCGGAGGACCACCAGUGGCGAAGGCUGCUGACUAGAACACGUCUGACGGUCAGGGACGAAAGCUGGGGUAGCGAACCGGAUUAGAUACCCGGGUAGUCCCAGCCGUAAACGAUGCAUGCUAGGUGUUGGGUUGGCCACGAGCCACCCCAGUGCCGCAGGGAAGCCGUUAAGCAUGCCGCCUGGGAAGUACGAUCGCAAGAUUAAAACUUAAAGGAAUUGGCGGGGGAGCACCACCAGGCGUGAAGCCUGCGGUUUAAUUGGAGUCAACGCUGGGAACCUUACCGGGAGCGACAGCAGAAUGAAGGCCAGAUUGAAGAUCUUGCCAGACGAGCUGAGAGGAGGUGCAUGGCCGUCGCCAGUUCGUGCCGUGAGGUGUUCUCUUAAGUGAGAUAACGAACGAGACCCGUGCCACAUGUUGCCACCAGUAUCUAAAGGAUAGCUGAGCACUCUUGUGGGACCGCAGCCGAUAAGGCUGAGGAAGGUACGGGCAACGGCAGGUCAGUAUGCCCCGAAUCUCCCGGGCCACACGCGGGCUGCAAUGGUACAGACAGAGGGCUGCCACCCCGAAAGGGGGAGCCAAUCCCUAAACUGUACCUCAGUUGGGAUCGAGGGUUGCAACCCACCCUCGUGAACAUGGAAUGCCUAGUAACCGCCAGUCAUCAUCUGGCGGUGAAUACGUCCCUGCUCCUUGCACACACUGCCCGUCGAACCACCCGAAUGAGGUUUGGGUGAGGAAUGGUCGAAUGUUGGCCGUUUCGAACCUGGGCCUCGUAAGGAGGGUUAAGUCGUAACAAGGUG